GAAUUCCUGCGGUGUGCGUGGCCAGACCGAUAUGUUUUGAGCCAACAUCAAAACAUAGGGAGCCCGAUCCGAAGUUAAUGGCCGUCCUGCCCCGAAAUCAGGGGACUGCGAAAAUUAGCCGGAGGUACCCACCUGCUUGUCGAGCAGGUUCAAAACGUCGGAAGCAACGGCAUUGCGGGGUGCA
This 184-nucleotide non-coding RNA is filed under the name Thermaerobacter sp. RNAcentral's name for it is "6S RNA". It matches the Rfam family "6S / SsrS RNA". Rfam says of the family: E. coli 6S RNA was the first non coding RNA to be sequenced, but its function was unknown until recently. It consists of 184 nucleotides that fold into an extended hairpin structure with a large single-stranded internal bulge. The record is from RNAcentral. Lineage: Bacteria; Bacillati; Bacillota; Clostridia; Eubacteriales; Clostridiales Family XVII. Incertae Sedis.